CGUAUAAUAUUUUGGAGAGGGGUUUAUGCUGAAUGGUGGAAACCUAGAAUUAGAACAAAAAGGAGAUAGAAAGGAGAAGCAGAAAUCUAGACUCUUGGAAGGAGAAUCAAGGGAUGUCUGAUGUUAUCAACCAAGUUUAGGCCAAGAAAACUCAGAGGUAAGAUUUUGAUUAUGCUAUAUCUAAGUUUUAAGUCUGAAUUUUAGUUAAGGAAGGUGAAUUGAGAUAAGUUGGUGGCUGGUUUUAUGUAAUUUCAGAAUUUGGAAACCAAGGGGGAAGAAGGUCAAGAGCUGGAGGUUGAACCUAUCACUUAAGGUAAGGUCUCUGUAUGUUUAUUAGAUUUGUUUUGUUAAGGUUUAGGGAGUUUGAAGUGUGGGUUGUGCUUGAAUUCAAGCUGUGCAUAACUUUUCUGGUUUGAGUUGUCAAGUGGGAAUUCAAGAGUGAAUUUUAGGAUUGAAGGUGUGAGUGAGCUUAGGCAUGAUGUCUUUGGGUUGUUGUGAGGUUUGUUAGGGGUUUAGAGUUGGUUUUGGGACUUAGGAUAGAGUUUGGGGUGAAUUGGUGAGGUUGGAGCUCGGGAAAAUGCGAAGGAAAACCCAGAAAUCUGGGUCUGCGAUGGUGUGCCGCGGCACGGCUUCUGCUUGCCGCGGCCUAGGGGUCUCUGGAGGUGGGUGCCGCGGCACAAGGCAAAAUUCAGGGAGUGAUAUUUUGCAAUUUUUGACCUUUGCUCCGGGGGUUCGGGGGAUGUCUCCGGGAUGUUGCUCUAGGGUUUUGGGGGUUCCGAGAGUGUGGAUUAGGUACCGGGAAGGUAGUCUUGGAUUGGUUAAUGACAAGGAAUAUUAUAUUUGUGUUUGAUUAGGACUUUGGAGAAGCUCGGGAUAGAGGACCGUGCUUGUGGCUACGUGAUAUCGGAAACCAGCGAAUUGAAAGGUAAGGGUAAGGGCAAGCUGGACCAGGCCUGAGGUGGAGAGCUCCGAGGUGAAAUGUACAUAGCCAGCCGUUCGAUCACCACGGUCGAGGAGUGUGUCAGGACGGAGAUUACCUAACCACUCAUUUUGCCUUAGUAUGGCUGUUGAUGUAUAUAGACUUUGUAACUUUUGUAAAUGACUUUUAAACUGUCAUUUUUGGGAUCCCUUGUACAUAAACAAUGUUUAGUAAUGAAAAUGUAUCUUUU
Molecule: long non-coding RNA, 1169 nt
Organism: Humulus lupulus (European hop)
Lineage: Eukaryota; Viridiplantae; Streptophyta; Magnoliopsida; Rosales; Cannabaceae
Exons: 2
Source: RefSeq, a predicted model, not a curated record